UACAGAGGUCUCAAGCGUUGUUCGGAAUCACUGGGCUUAAAGGGUGCGUAGGCGGCCGACUAAGUAGGGUGUGAAAUGCCAGAGCUCAACUUUGGCAUUGCGCUCUAGACUGGUUGGCUUGAGUGAGAUAGGGGUGUGCGGAACCUCCAGUGGAGCGGUGAAAUGUGUUGAUAUUGGAAGGAACGCCGGUGGCGAAAGCGGCACACUGGGUCUUAACUGACGCUGAGGCACGAAAGCCAGGGGAGCGAACGGG
RNAcentral lists this ribosomal RNA (253 nucleotides) under uncultured bacterium. Its description in RNAcentral is "partial 16S ribosomal RNA". It matches the Rfam family "Bacterial small subunit ribosomal RNA", at positions 524 to 776 of the family's 1533-position model. The record is from RNAcentral.